UAGUAUCAGGAAUCAGCAUUUCCCUUGCGAUCAUCUUGAUUUUUAUAUUUGCUUUUCUUUGGUUUAAAUGGAAAUUGUCUAAGGGAAAUUCAGCUGAAAUUAAUUCUGUCCCCUCCAGUGAAGCUGUGGUGACCUUAAAAAAUACCAAGUUAUAAGAGCCAAUGAGGAAAGAAGAAAUGAAAGUCCUCUCAGUUGAUAGCUAUUUAAAUGGCUCUUCCACAAGAGCAAUAUAUUCAAAAAAUAAAUUCUCGAGACUGAAGAGAUCCAAAUGAUAGAAAAUGGCACGCUUAGGCUAUGUAUAUACUAAUGAAUUAAAGCUGCACAGGAACAUUGGCACUGUUGAGACUUAGCUGGAAUAGCUCUUGUUUAAACUUGUAUUGUGUAUAUUACCUAUUGGGAAUGGCUCCUGGAAGCCCCCAACUUCCAAAAUUUGGCUAGUGCCACAACCAAGUUACCUGAAUAAACAACAGUCUUCCAGUGCAUGGGAAUUUCCUAGACAUUGUUUAAUUUACUAGUCUAGAUACAUAGCCUUAUUGUUUAAAGCUAUUUCUAAAUGACCUAUUUGAUGUCGUAUUCACUCAUUUAGGGACAGUUAUUAUCAGUGAUUAAUCAAAGCUGGCCACUGCAAACCUUCAUUUACUCACUGCACUGUGUUCGGCUUCUGCAUUGUAACUGUGUAAAAAGCUAGUCAUUUAAAUAUAAGUCUUGUUGUCAUAAGCUUAUUAAGAUGUCUUAGACUGGAGCAUGAAUUUAAAGUUGAACUAUGUUUCACUCUUUCAGUAAGUAGAUGAUUUCAUGGAACAAAAUAACAGAAUAGUCUCAUACCUUGACCUUAGGCAAAAGAUAAGCAUACAAACUAAGUGAAUGCAGAAAUCACUCGUGCAGAGUAAAUUCAUAUCCUGGCAUAUACUUCUGAGAAGCUACAUAAAUUUAAGUGUGUGAAACCCCAUGUUGUGACAAAGCUGCCCCUACUACCCAGAGAAAUUCCAUAGCCUCAACAAGACAUGCAAUUCAGUUUUCAGCACAUUUAUUUUGUAAGAGGGGAAAUAAGGAAAUUUCUGAAAAAACUGUUUCCAUAGAGUGUGAAAGAUAUGUUAAUACACUGAUAAAAACUUGUCCAUUAACAUAAGCAACUGUGUCUAUAAAGGAUUAACUGCUCAGUAUAAUUGAUGGACCUUCCUUACUCUAAUUCCAGUCCUUGAUAACAAUACUAAUAAUUAUAAUAAUCAAGAGUCAGUUAAGGCUGAAAGCCUGAACUUUACCGGAUGAUACCAUCAUUAUUCCACUACUUCCUCUAAUUGAGUAGCACUUACCAACUGGUGUCAGAGGCACUCAGCAGCAAGUGACAUCAGUGGGGUUCUGCUUGAGGAGGGUCUGGGGGAUGUGGGGCAGAAGGGGUGAGCAGACACAUGCCCAAAGGGCUGCCCUCCUGUAAUGUGUCAAGGGAAACAGAACUGAAGAGGUAAUUUUGAGAGAGUGUCAGAUUGCACUACCAAAACAUUCCUGUGUGAGCUUUGGCAAGUGACCUUUACUUCUGAAUCUGAGCUCCUGUUCUACAGGACUAAACUGGUAGCAUGUCCCUUCCUCAUAUUUAUCUAUGAAGAUGAAUACAUUUAAGAGCAUGCCUUGUCUACGUUCCACGGUAAUGAAGCUGUACCGAGAGUUGUAAAUAUGCAGGAGAACACAGAUUCUGUUUCUCUGUAAAUCUUACCAAGCUACUUAUCUUCCUAGUAACAGUAGAGAAGAACGCUGUAUCAGCUUUCAGUUUGAAGUAUUGAUUGACAUUCUAUUCAAAUAAAAGCACAAAAGCAGUU
Molecule: long non-coding RNA, 1814 nt
Organism: Oxyura jamaicensis (ruddy duck)
Lineage: Eukaryota; Metazoa; Chordata; Aves; Anseriformes; Anatidae
Exons: 3
Source: RefSeq, a predicted model, not a curated record